CUCUCUCUCUCUCUCUCUCUCUCUCUCUCUCUCUCUCUCUCUGUUGCUUGUAGUUUUUUCAAGUGGAGUAAAAAGAACAGAACGACAUAACCUGGUGAGUGUUUAUAUUUCUACUGUUGUUGGUAGCUUUCAUGUGGGUUUCUGGUGAAUGAUUCGAUUCCAUUAUUGCGUUUAUUUUUUUCUUCUCGUUUUUAUUUAUUUAAAGCAAUGGAAGGUUCAUGUCGCUGGUCGUGGGCCUAAUCCCCCAUUGUUGUUAGCUAAUCACAAUAAUGCUGAACCUUUUUUCGCAUUAAUUGUUUUGAUGGGUUCACUUGUAUAAAUAGUCGAUUCUCAAAAAAGGGUUUUAGGACUUUCAUCCUUUACAGCAAAAAGAAAAAAAAAACACUAAAGUUUGGGUUUUUAAUCAUCUUGUUUCUUUUAUCAUUUUUUCUCAUCUGCGUUCUAUGUUUGAGAUUUGUAAUGUCGUUUUGAAUUGAUUUAGUCUGCAGGGUUUAAGCAGAGGUUGGUUUGUCAGAUUCUCAAGUUUCUUUCUUCAGAUUUACUCUAUGAUGAAGUGAGAGACCUCCAACAUUAAACAAAGAGAGAAGCUUGCAACUUUCGCAAGGUACAACCUUUGACUUUAUUGGUUUACUUGUAAGAAACUUGCUUCUGAAAUUUUCAAACUUUGAAUUUUUAAAUCUGGGUUUCUCUGGUUUGUGUUGAAAUAUUCAGUUUCAUUAUAACAUUCCACUUUUUUGUGAAGUUCUCUUCGGUUUAUUAGACCCAAGACAUCUGCUUAAGGGUAUGUAGAUGAGAGAACUGUCUUAAGGUUUUGUUUGGUUAGUGACAUAGCGUUUAGACCGCUGCUGCUAGUGCGUUUUGAGUCUAGAAUGAGACAUAGGUUGCGGGUCUUGUACUGAAUGUGUUUGGUGGGUUUGUCAGGCUUUGAGGUUGUCUUGUUGUUUCACAUGGCUAUCAAACCAUUUUUUAAAAGGUUUGUACUGUUUUCUCUAAGGGAUUUUUGAGGCACUACAGUAUAAUAAUAUUACUGGUUUUACAUUAAGGUUAUGUUACAUGGUAAAUGCAUAUUUGAUCUGUUUUUUUUUUAUGUUUCUUUUGAGAGAGGUGGAUUAUUCUGCAUGGGUGAAAUCUUCUGCAAAUCUUUAAUUGUUCUUUGUUUUCUAGCAGCACAUUUUGACUAAAUAACCCCACAAAAAUAAAUUAAAGAAGAAAAUAAAAGUAGAUUGGACCAUGAAGUCUUCACAACUCUUUGUCGAAUAUUUUAAGCAUGAACCAUGAAGUUUUCACAACUCUUUGUUGAAUAUUUUAUAGCAGUAUCCAUUGUAUUAUAUAUGUGUAGAUUCCUCUUUUGUUAAUAGAUUUUUUUAAUUAGGGAGACACUCUUUUACAUUGAGCUUUUUUUAUAUAGUUCUUAACUUAAAGCAAGUCCUAUUUGGAGAAUAUUACAUAAAGAAUCCUUGUGGCCCUCCAUUAACGCUCCUUGAUCCUAGAAUUAAAAGCUUCUAGCUCUUUUUCUUUAUAUUCAUCAUUACAAGCUCUCUCCUCUCCUCUUCUCUGCUUUUGAAUUCCUUUUUGUGGUGUUUUUUCUUUGUCCUAUUUGUUACUUAAUACUUUCAAGCUUCUUUGUGAUGGAUCUGCAGAUGGAGACUGUGAAACCAAGGGCUGUUGCUCCCAAGGGUAAAUUCAGACGCACGUUUGCCAAAGUUCUCAACAUUCACAAGCUAACCGGUGUUGCUCCAGAUGUGAAGAAGAUAAAGUUAACAGAGAAGAGGCUUAACCAAAGCGGACAGCUUUGCAACCCUUUAGACAAUCUUCACCUCUCUGCGCUGAAUCCAACCCACUUCGUUGCUUAUCUGAACCACACAGUCAAAUCCAUCAGAGGGUUCGUCAAGCUGAUGGUCCAACAGAUGAAACUCGCGGGAUGGGAUCUUUCAAUGGCGGCUAACUCGAUCCAGCCCGGUGUGUUUUAUUACAAGCAGGAUCACAAGUGUUUCGCUUUCGAACACUUUGUCUCCAACGUAAUGUUCGAAGCUUUCCAUCUGCCACACUUCUCAACCGAUUCAAGAAGCUUCAAGAAACAGAGCAAAACAGAGGAACAGAGCAAAACAGAGGAACAGAGCAAAACAGAGAGGGAAGCGUUCUUUGAGAGGUUUACAGAGCUCAAGUCGAUGAAAGCUAGAGAUUACUUAAACGCACGGCCAAGAUCAAGAUUCGCCAGGUUCUGCAGAGCCAAGUUCUUGCAGCUUAUACAUCCGAAGAUGGAGGAAGCUUUCUUCGGACACACGCACUUGAGAAACCAGGUCUCUGCUGGUGUGUUCCCGGAGACGAGCUUGUGCUCUGGGUUUCUCGAAAUGGCGAAAAGGGUUUGGCUUCUGCAUUGCUUGGCUUUAUCUUUUGAGCAUGAAGCUGAGAUCUUUCGAGUGCAGAAAGGUUGUAGAUUCUCUGAAGUGUACAUGAAGAGCGUUGCGGAGGAAGCGUUGGAGGAAACAGAGCAGCCACGUGUCGCGUUCACGGUGGUUCCGGGGUUUAGGUUCGGGAGCAGUUUGAUACAGUGCGAGGUUUAUCUCUCGGGUUCGUGAUAGCCGUUCGAUCAAAGAUCUGGAAAUGGACGGUGGUGGGUCCUUAAGGACGUUUUGGUAAUUUCGAAAGUUGUGGGGUUGAUUUUUGAAGAAUGGGAAGUAGUGUGGUCUUUUGCUAAUGUUUUUCUCGGGCUUUUGAGUUUUGUCGAGAUUGGUGCAGGGAAAAUCAGAGGCAUCUGUUAGCUGUUGUCCAUUGAAUAUUUAUCUCCUUUUUUUCUGAAUAAUAUGUAAAUAUUUUAUGAUUUUCGAUAUGUACUUAAAUAAUGCAGUUAGAGAAAAAAUAUUAUAAAUAAAUGCCAAAGGAGCGUAAUAUUGGAAUGAUGAAAAGACUGAAAUGCAUUACUAUUUGAUUUGUUCGAUGCAUAUUUGUUAUUUAUAGUACAUAAUCACAUUUUGAUCAAAAAAAAGAUAAGUACAUAAUCACAUUUACAAAAGCAUUGGAUUCGUUUCUAAAUGUAUCGCUGGUUUAUGAACCAUCCAGCAUUAUGUCUCCCUGUCUUGUGUUGUCACUUGUCACCACUCACCUGCACAUUAAAAUUCUUAUCUGCUAAGAUUUUUGAGAUCUUGUUCAUUUUAAGUAGCCCUGCAACUUCGGUUUUCCGAAACCGAACCGAACCAAACCCUCGGUUUUCGGUUAACCGAAAUUUUAAAAAACAUUUCCAAAAGUAACCGAAUUAAAUUUCGGUUCGGUUUUCGGUUAACCGAAAUUUUAAAAAACAUUUCCGAAAAUAACCGAAUUAAAUUUCGGUUCGGUUCGGUUUUCGGUUAUUUUCGGUUUUCACCUAAAUUUCCGAAUAUACCCGAUUUUUAUGAUUUUUGGUUAAUUUCGGUAUAGGUUUUUAAAAAAGUUCGGAUUUCUCGGUUAAAUUCGGUUAUUUUCGAUUAUUUUCGGUUCGAAUUUUCGGUUAUUUUCGGUUAUUUACGGUUAAACCGGAUUAUUUUUUAAAAUCUUACCGAACCAAACCGAUCUCGAAAACAUAACCGAACCGAAAACCAAAAAUGUCGGUUCGGUUCGGCUGGUUCGGUUCGGAGCAAAGUCGCAGGGCUAAUUUUAAGGUUUGAAUUUUUAAAAAUAUUUCUACUAAAUCAUUAUUACAAAAUUAAGUAUACACGAAGAAAAAUUGACGCGUUGUUUGAAGAUUGUUUUGGGGGGUCUUUUGUUCAUUUUAAAGUUUAGAUAAGUUAUGCUAUAGUAAUUGACCAAAAAAAAAAAAAUUAUGCUAUAGUAAAUAAUUGUUGACCAAACUAAUAAUUUGGACAAAGACGUCAAAAUAUUGUGGGAUACCACAAAGACGGUGCUACGAUGAAAAGUUCAUUGAAAGAAUAAUAUUUUUGUUAUCUUAUGAUUUAUAUGUAUUGUUAUUGGUGUGCAUUUAUCAUGUAUAGUUUAUUUCAAAUUCAGUCUAUAUUAUAUUUAAUGAGAACGAUGCUUCCCCUAUGACACGAAAUCUAAAAGAUGAAUGACCAAAUAUUAUGGUAGGGUUCGUAUCUAGCAAAAUGACUGUACAUAAAUAUUAAAAAUGGUUUUAAUGUUUGUCGGAAAGUACGCAUCUACUUUUCUCUUAAACAUUUCGGUGCGGCUAAAUAUAUAUAUACUAGAUCUUCACCCACGCGACCACGCGAAUAUUUAAUUUGUGUUUGUAUUUAAUGAUAUAUUUGUAUCACUGAUAUUAGGUAUUAUAUAAAAAAUCUAAUAUUUAUAUAAUAAAAUCCAUGUCUAAGAUAUAUAGCUAACAAAUUUUUUAAAUAAAAAAUACAAAAAUAGACAAUUGUGAAUUAGCAUGCUAUUUAUAAAUAAAACAUUAGUUAUAAUAUUUGUAAGAAAAUAAAAUGAUUGUUAAACUUCUAUGAAAUUUGGAACAUAUACAAAUUAAGAUUGAAAAUAAAAUGAAAAUAUAAAUUUGAUGUAACUGAUAAGAAAUUAUAAAUGGGUUUGGAUUUGAGUACAUUUAAACCACGAUCUUGCAGAUGUUUUUUUAUUUUUGUAAAUAAAUAUUUAUUUUUUCUAAGGGAUAAUAUAUAUUUUAAAAUUUUACAUGUGUUAAAUAAUUAUUUAAUAACAUUUAUAAGCAUACUAAUUUUAUAGUUUAUAUUUUUUUAUUUAAUUUUAUCUUGUAAACCGUCAAUUGUAUUACCACCAUUUUUAGAAUAUGAUCCUUGCAUCUAUACAAAUGUUUUAUUUUGUUUUUUUUUGUGGAACAAAAUUUUAUGAGAAUGUCUAAUAAAUUAUUUUAUAUACAUGGUAAGUUUGUAAAUAAUUAUAAUGGUGCAUGUAAUAUAUUUAUAUUGGUAAGAAGAAGAAUUUGUUAAAAAAAAAGAAGAGUAACAUGAAUUGUGGGAGAGAAUGAGACAAAAAUGUAACUUAUAUUAUUACAUAAAUAUUUUGUGUAUAUUAUUGACAUAGAUAAGUUAAAAGAUUUAUAUUUAAUUGAUUGUGAAUGUAAUUUAGUAAAUGUUUUAUUAUUUUUUAAAAAUACAUGAAAAGCAUAGAAUUAGGAGUAAUUAAUACUUCAUUAAUUUCGGAAAAGACAGAGAUUACUUAAAAUUAUAUUUAUUUAAUUAUUUCAAUGGCAUUAGGCUGUAAAUAUUAUGAAAGUUUAAGGGUUAGUAUCAAUUUGUACUUCUCUUUUAAUAGAUUAUAUAUAUUUUUUUUUUUGAAGGAGGGUGUGGCUAAAUAUUGAUAUGAUCUUCAUAAUGUUUAUGUAUGCUUAUUUAGUAACUAUUUUUACAAAUUCGAAAGUGCAUGUUGAAAUUUAUUUCUAAAGUUAUCCCCCAUGAUUUGCUCUUGGAUCUUUUUUUUUUAAUAGAGAAUAUGUUUGUUCCAAUAGUCAUUUCUAUUUCUACUUUAAAUAAAAAUAAAUAAUAUUAUACGCCACUGGUGCAUUUAAUUUGUAAUACAAUCAUUUUUAUUCAAGCAUUAUUUUCUAAAAAAAAAUCUCAAGGUUUUUCCAAAUUUAGGAGUCUCUUAUAUAGUUCUCUAUUUUAAAAAUAUUGAAUAUAGAGUGGUUUAUGGGAGAUGAUGCAACAAAAAUUUUGUUGUGGAAUUCCCCAUUGUGGUCGUGAUAAAUGUAAACCGGAGGACUUUAACUCAAUAUGCCCCAAGGCCUCUUGAAAAAUUCUCAUAUGUCCCUGUUAUUAAAAAUAAUAUAUAAUAAUUUCUUUUUGAAUUUUUUUAAAUGCAAAAAGUGCGUAAAGUCGAAAAGACCCUAAAUGAAAUGGACUUAUUACCAUAUCCAACCAAAUCGACCCGGUCCACCCAAACCUAAAGGGUUACGACCCGGAUCCGAACCCUAAUUCUCUCUUGGUUGCGAAACCCUCUGAAUGGCUCUCUCCGUCUCAAACAGAAAAGGAGAAACAACAAACCCUAGAUUCGAUUUCUCUGCUUCUUCCAUCUUCGGCUCGUUCACAAUCCAGACGAAUCGAGCGUCUUCGUGUUCUUCAUUCAUUCGUUUAUCAUGGUAAGCGUGUUGUCAAAUCUCCAUACCUCCCCUUUUCGUUUAUCUUGGUCGUUGUCCUUUUUUGUUAGUUGGUGGGGAAAACUUGCAAGUGACUAUAAUGAAAUCGGGUUAUGUCUGUAGAAAGCGAAUUGCUAAAAAAUUGGAGACUAAACUAAAUGGGGUUGGGGUUAUGGUAAAAACGGAAUUGGGACAGAAAGGGGUUACGAAUUAGGAUAAAUGGUCUAUUGUGUGAAUCAGGUGUGUAGUACUUUGUGUUGUUUUGGUUUUGUUGAUCGUGAAUUGAUUUUGGGGUGUUUAGUUUGUCUACUUGACUUUGUGGUAAAGCUUAAUUGAUGUUGCUAUGCGGUUUGCAUUUGGAGUGAUUGAGUUGUUGUGGUUGUAACGUCAUGUACAUGAAAUGAAGGGCCAAAAAAGAAGGCAUCAAUAAUACUGCAAAGGUUUUGUAUUCUCAAUGUUUGUCUCUGUUACCAAGGUAAGUGUCUUCAGAAUCAAUUUGCUCUGGCUAGUUUCUUACUGGUGUUGUUAACUAGGGUUGUCUUUGAACUGUUUGGUAAAUUUAUUUUUCUUAGGAACGUUUUGUGUGUGUUUUUCUGUAGAGAAAAAGAUAUGCUAGUGGUACAAUGACCGAGGAUCAGGCCCUCCCCUAAUUUGUCAAAUGCACGUGGAGAAGGUAUGCUAGUGGUUCGUAUAUUUAUUUGUUCUGUUUUUUUCUUUCAUAUAUCUCAAUUUUGUGGCUGGUACAUCUUUUUAUCACCAGGAACGCCGACGAGAAAGGAUUGUUGCUUCACGCAGUGAUUAUAGUGCUGAUCAUAAUGACCUUUGCGAUGAUAAAACGAUGCUCAAGAUGCAAAGAGAGCAGCGGAAGCGUGCUGAUAAGGAGAACAGAGAAAGGAGAUGCCGUGUGUUCUGGACGACAGAGAAGCCGAUCAAGAUAACUUGCACCAUUUUCCAGAGGAAAAAAAAAAUCUUCGAGAAGAGAGGAAGGUCCUCAAGCAAUUCUUUGAGCGUUGUGAGAGUAUUGGUAUUGGAUCUUCUUAUGUCUUUAAAACAGGGAGGCGAGUUGUCGAAACCGUAGCUACUAAAUGAACACAUACAGUUUUGUUUCAGAUUAAAUAUAUAAAAAUAUUUUAAUAUAUGUUUAUUUAUUUAUUUUAUUUAAAUAUAUGUUAAUAUUUAAUUAUACACUCAAUUUUGAUUAGUGUAGUUUUCAUUAUCUUUUGUGACACAUUCUCCUUUCAUCUUCGAUUAAUUCCCAUUGUUUGAGCAUGUUUCAUGUGAAAAAAAAUUCUCAUAUUAAAUUGUUUUUAUAAAAUGUAUGAUUAAAGUUUAAGUCUUUUUUUCUCUUCUACAAGCACAUUUUUUUGUCAGUAAAUAUUAAGUAAGGUAAUAUGUCACAUUACACAUUCCAUCAUUUAUAAAUAAUUAAAAAGUGUUAAAACCAUUUAUCUUCUGUUUUUAGAUUUUAAAAAUGUUUUAUGUUUCAUAAAAUUCAUUUUGUUUCGCUCAGGUUAAAUUAAUAAUAUAAAAAGUACUCAUAUAAAAUGUAUAUGCAUAGCAUAUGUUAAAAUGAUAAUUUUAAAAUUACUCAUGUAAAAAGUGCAUGCAUAACACAUGUUAAAAUAAUAAUUUUAAAAGUAUUCAUGUCUUUGACAAAAAAAAUACUUAUGUAAAAGGUGAAGCCUUUAUAUACAUAAAUUUAAUAUUUUAAUUACAUUUAGUAAUUCUUGAUAAUCUUCAAGGUAGUAGAAAUACUUACUUACACAUAGUAAUACUUUAGCAAAUUUUAAGUUUUAUUAGUAAAACCAUAUCCAGAUGGAAUAUUUGGUAGUAAAACCAAUAUUUUUAUAUAAUGAAUGUUAUUAAGGAAGAGUAUUACAUAACCACUUUAAUAGAAAUAAGUAUUUUUAUAGAUUUUUCUUACGAUAGCCUUAUGAUUCACACAAUAACCAUGAAAGCUAAAGAAUUAUUUUGGGAAAAUGACAGAUAUUCCUAAAACUAUAGAAAAUAAUCAUCUAAAUAGUUUUAAUAGUCUUAUGUACUAUAUACAUAGUCUACUAAUAGAUAAUAUAUGGAUUCUAUAUGUUAAAUACACGCACUACUUGCAAUAUAUAGGAGUUUCAAAUUACACAUAAUAAAACCAAGUAAUCCUAGUAUUUCGAAUUACACAUAAUAAACCUAGUAAUCCUAGUAGUCCGAAUUACAUAAAAUAAACUCAGUAAUCCUAAUAGUCCGAUAAUUUUUCAACGUAGUAGAACUAAUAGUUCUAAUAAAAAUGUUUUUCCAUAGUAAUUCAAGUUGUCUAAGUAGUACCUAAUUCUUUUCACAUUUACGACCUAGUCUUUUUUUUAGAACGAUGUUGUUCGGAUUAAACCACUACUAUUUUUCUAUGACCAUAGUCCUACUAUACUUCAAAAUGAAGUAAAAUAAACCAAACCCCAUAAACACAGUUUUUAAAAUAAUUUUCAAUGUCUCAAAAUUUUCAUUAAAUCUUACGUUAUUUACAUUAUCUAAGAUAUACAUUUCAUUUUAAUUAUACUCCAAUUAAAUUUCUGUAAAAAUGAACAUAAUAAACCUAAAACCCAGAAAACAAAAUUUUAAAACUCGUUUUAAAUCUUUUGAAAUUCUUAGUAAAUCUUAAAUUAUUUACAUUACCCAAGAUUUACAGUUCAUUUUAAUGAUAUUCUAUAUAAUUUUUUUUAUUAAAACACGGAUAUAAUAAAUCUAAAACCUAAAAAAAAAACAGUUUUAAAACUCAUUUUCAGUCUUCCAAAAUUUUUAGUUAAUCUUACACUAUUUACAUUACCCAAGAUGUACAGUUCAUUUUAAUGAUAUUCUAGAUAAAUUUAUUUUAAGAAAACAGAUAUAAUAAAUCUAAAACCCAUAAAAAAAUAGUUUCAAACUCGUUUUCAAUCUUCCAAAAUUCUCAAUAAAUCUUACAUUAUUUACAUUUCCCAAGAUGUACAAUUCAUUUUAAUGAUAUUUUAGAUAAUUUUUUUAAAACGGAUAUAAUAAAUCUAAAACCCAGAAAAAUAAUUUUAAAACUCGUUUCAAUCUUCCAAAAUUCUUAGUAAAUCUUACAUUAUCUACAUAACCCAACAUGUACAAUUCAUUUUAAUGAUAUUCUAGAUAAUUUUUGAUAACAUAUAUAAUAAAUCUACAACCCAGAAAAAUAGUUUCAAAACUCGUUUUCAAUUUUUCGAAAUUCUCAGUAAAUCUUACAUUAUGUACAUUACCCAAGAUGAACAAUUCAUUUUAAAGAUAUUCUAGAUAUUUUUUAAAAACAGAUAUAAUAAAUCUAAAAAAAAAACAGCUUUAAAACUGGUUUUCAAUCUUCUGAAAUUAUCAGCAAAUCUUUUAUUAUUUACAUUAUUUUAAUAUAUUUAGAAAUUUAAAGUUAUUUUAUAACAAAUUUCAUAAAAAUGAACAUAUAUUAAAUGUUGUAUAAAGUUUCAGUUAACAAAAAGGAAAAUGUUACAUUAAAAAAAAAAAAAAAAAAAAAAGAGAUCACGUUGAAGAAGACAAAAAUGAGGUUUCUGGUUAAAGUUUAUCGUGGGACCCAACUAAUUUUUGAUAUAAAUUUGAUUCAUGAUUAAUGAGGUAUCAGAUUUAUAAUAAAAAAUUAGAAGGCUAGUUUCGGAAUCACAAAGAGAGAAGGGUAGUGAGAAAAGAGGAGGGAUAAGGAGAAUAGUUUUUUUCAAUAGGGGCAUAUUGAGUUACACUCCCAGAAACUUUGCUCUCGAGUGAGAGAAGUUAUUAAAUUUAAUGGGCUUUUAAACAACGCUAAUGGGCUUUAUUAAUAAACUAAACCUUAUUUAUAUACGAAGGUUCAGCUUUCAGGUAGAAAGGAAUCGAAGAUGAUAUUAGCCAAUCUCCCGAACGAUUUGGAAUCGGAGAUACUCGCUAGGGUUCCGGCGAAGUCUCUACAGGAACUCAAAACGACUUGCAAACGAUGGUACACUCUAUUCAAAGAUUCGAAGUUCGUGGAGAAGAACAAGAAGUUGAGUAGUGAAGCUGCAAGAGAGACGUUUCUACUGAGCAAUCACGAGGUUUACUCCAUCGCCGGAGAUCUCCACAGCAGCGGCGACGUCGCACAGCCUCUCGAGUUCACCGGUAAACUUUCAAAAGAUUUGGACUUGUAUACGAUCUCUCACUGCGACGGUUUGAUGCUAUGCCAAGCGAAGAAUAACUCUAGCGUUGUGGUUUGGAAUCCAUGUACUGGUGAAACGAAGAUGAUCAAACCUAGAACUCGUUACCAGAUUAGAGAUAGAUUCGCCUUAGGAUAUGAUGAUUCUCGCCGUGGCUACAAGAUCUUGAGGUUUGGCUAUUAUCAAAACGAGGAGAAAGUGUGGUUUGUUGAGUGUGAGAUGUAUGAUCUUAGCUCUGGUUCUUGGAGUGUUGUUGAUUCCUUCAUUCUUGACUACAGAAUGUAUUGCAGUGGCGUGUCUUUGCGAGGAGAUACUUACUUCGUUGCUGGUGAUAAAGAUUCAAGUUUCUUCUUGAUGAAGUUUGAUUUCACGGCGGAGAGAUUCGUGCGUCUCCCUCUCCCGUUUCAGAGCUUUGAUCCUGAGGACACCGCGGUUCUCUCUGUUGUUAGGGAUGAGAAGCUCUCUGUGUGUCAUCAGGACAAUCAUACUUGGUCCCAUGUGAUGAGGAUUUGGGUGAGCAGUAAGGUUGAUGAGGAAGGGGGCAAAGAGUUGUCGUGGAGGAAAGACUUUGUUUUGACUGUGGAUUUCGAUAAGUUUCAGCUCCGGUGUGUGGUGAAUGUGGCGAGCUUCUUGUUGGACGAGGAGAAGAAAGUGGCAGUGUGUUGUGACGUUUGUGACGAAGACAUGAAGGGGGAAGCGAAGAACAGAAUCUACAUUGUUGGUGAGGAUAUGUAUAAGCAGGUUUAUGACGAUGAUAUUGUAAAUGCAUCUCUUCUCAACUGUCCACUUGUUCUCACCUAUGUUCCAAGCUUGGUUCACAUCCACUAAGAAGAGACAGAUGUUCUUCUGGUUUGUUUCGGUUUAGGUGCUGCUACUUGGUUAUGGUUUUCUUGUGCUUUUUAGUAUUGGAUCGUUUGUUCAUAUACAUUGUUCUGGCUUGUAGCCAGUGUUUGAUCUUGGAGAGAUUAUCAUCACAUAAGAAGAAUCUGAUUCAUGAAUUGAGACUAAAGAAACAAUACAAAACCAGAUUCAAUCUUGUCCGAACUUUGUCAAUGCGUAAACCAAACCGGUUCAAGUUAGCAUUCCAUGUAGAGUUAAAAUGAGAAAACAUCUCUAGUUUAAUGUAUUAGAACAAGAGUUUCUUUUCACUUUCCAUUGCUCGAACUCUGUUGAGCUUAACAGGAAGGAGCUUGCGUUUUUA
Molecule: long non-coding RNA, 11383 nt
Filed under: Brassica rapa (field mustard)
Lineage: Eukaryota; Viridiplantae; Streptophyta; Magnoliopsida; Brassicales; Brassicaceae
Description: long non-coding RNA (BRAP_LNC005621)
Source: RNAcentral